UACGGAGGGUGCAAACGUUGUUCGGAAUCAUUGGGCGUAAAGGGCACGCAGGCGGUCUGUCAGGUCGGGUGUGAAAGCCCGGGGCUCAACCCCGGAUGUGCGCUCGAAACCGACAGACUGGAGUCACGGAGGGAGAGGUGGAAUUCCUGGUGUAGGGGUGAAAUCCGUAGAUAUCAGGAGGAACACCGGCGGCGAAGGCGACCUCUUGGCCGAUGACUGACGCUGAGGUGCGAAAGCGUGGGGAGCAAACAGG
RNAcentral lists this unclassified non-coding RNA (253 nucleotides) under uncultured Bradymonadales bacterium. Its description in RNAcentral is "contains 16S-23S intergenic spacer region". It matches the Rfam family "Bacterial small subunit ribosomal RNA", at positions 524 to 776 of the family's 1533-position model. The record is from RNAcentral. Lineage: Bacteria; Deltaproteobacteria; Bradymonadales.